UUCUGGAAUAGUAAUUUUUGAUUGAAUGUAAUUUUUUUGCUUCUAGGACCAACCAGCAGAAAGAUAUAUAACUCGGUUAAUGGCUGAUUAUGCUUGUUGUGAGUACAGGAUCUUUCUGUAUCUUUACCAGAUCUAUUCAAGCAUCAUUGCUUCUACUCUGAAAAUGUUUGGAAUCCUCAAUUGUUAGUGAUACAAUACUUUAAGCAGGGCACAUACGAAUCAAUUGUCAUUGGAGAUGAAGCUAUCCAUCAUCUUAGGUUUAGCCAUCUAGAGAAGGCGUUUCUGCAACAAAGCUGAUGGGAAAGUGGAUCUCUCUGUAGGGAACAGACUUUUGAGACUGAUCAAGAACAUGACUAUAUCUGUGGAACAUGCCAGAAAGGAGCAGG
Long non-coding RNA from Thamnophis elegans (Western terrestrial garter snake), 386 nucleotides. RefSeq lists it as uncharacterized. The transcript has 3 exons. Lineage: Eukaryota; Metazoa; Chordata; Lepidosauria; Squamata; Natricidae. The record is from RefSeq and is a predicted model, not a curated record.